Molecule: long non-coding RNA, 598 nt
Filed under: Polistes fuscatus (common paper wasp)
Lineage: Eukaryota; Metazoa; Arthropoda; Insecta; Hymenoptera; Vespidae
Description: uncharacterized LOC122520241
Source: RNAcentral
GUGAAUUCAUACUUCGGCACCGUACAUAACUCGCGUACAAUGUCGCACAGCGACAUGAAAUUAACAGCAUGAAUACUAGUUCCCGCUGGGACUUCUCCUGGAACCGUCGAGGCGAGUGGAUCGUGCCGGAGUGCGUACGUGAUUGAAGUUCGACGCGAAUUUUCACGGUUAGUGCAAAAACCGGAUCAACGAGUGCUAUAUCAAGAAACAAAUUAUCAGAAAAAGCAAAGAAAACAUUAUACGAAGCAUCGAUAAUUACUUUCGAUUAACAUGUCAGCCUCCCACAGAGGAGGCGGCAGUAACGGAUUUCUAUAUAUAUAGUAGCAAAAUUGACUGUGAUAAAACUGAAAUGGAGACACAGGGAAAUACAAUGGCCAAAAAACGCGCUCGCUUGAAUCCGAAAUCUAAAAUACCCGUGAAGAGAGAUAGACAGGGGGAAAAAACAUACGAAGACACCGAUAAACGAAAAACUCAGAGUGUAAACGAAGAAAGUACUGACCUUUGGCGUUCAAUAAUGCAGAAAAAAAUUGACGAUCUUUCGGAGACCAUCAAAGACCUAAAAAAAGUGAACGAAGAAUUAAAGAACGAGAACGAAAAA